Molecule: small RNA, 5682 nt
Filed under: Rattus norvegicus (Norway rat)
Lineage: Eukaryota; Metazoa; Chordata; Mammalia; Rodentia; Muridae
Description: uncharacterized LOC102548160
Source: RNAcentral
GCCCUCUUCUGGUGUGUGUCUGAAGACAGUGACAGUGUGCUCAUACAUAAAUUAGAAGUUUCUAGCAAUUUUGUCCCAGAGGUAGGGUCAUAGACUCAUUCUUGGCAUAGAUUUAGAAUGGGGCCUUUUACCCUUUUAUUACACAAAUACAAGGAGGCAGGCAUGUUGGUUGAAUUUAUUAAACAUGCCAGUUUGUCUUUUAAACACAUUUUGGGGGUUAUUGGCCUUAAGUAUCUUUAAUUAUGUGACUGUCUUAAGCAGAGUCAAUGAGCAUUUUAGACGUUUUCCUUGAAUACAUUCGGUUAAUACCAUUUUCCAGAAUUAUCCAUGCAGUUACCAUUGUCCCUCCUACAAUUUAGAGUUUCUCCUUCUGUUACGGAUUUCCUUUGGCUUUCCACUGUGCUUAGUAUCGUCUAACACGUGAUCAUACACUGUACAGUUCACAUAAGUGCUACCCGGUGAGCCAAGGGUCAGCGUCAUUCUCCCGUGUUUCUCAAGUGCUUACAGAGAGCUGGCUUGUAGAAGCCGCUAGUAGUGUUGAAUAAAUGGUUAACUGAUCUUUGUCUUAAAAGAACAAACACUCCUACAUUUGUGCAUAUUUUGCAGGUCAUGAUUAUUUUAAAUAUUUUAUUAUAGAAGUCAGUUUUUCCUGUCCCUAAUAUUUCGGUAUUUACAUAUUAUAUUUCAAAUAUCAUCAAAUGGCCUCUUCACCGACUUUGCUGAGGACUUUUACUUUAAAACCCACAAAAAUUUAAGGUGAUUUGAAUAGCUUUGGACAGUUUUUUUUUUGGUGGCAUUUUGAUCUGUAGGUUUUGUUUUAUCUUCCUAACAAUGUUUUAACAGUGAGUUUUCUUUUGUCUUCGUAAUGUUUAAGAAAUGUUCCUUCAUCCCAUCUGUAUCUCUCUCAGUUCUGUGCUGCCGUGGGAGUUGGGUCAGAACAUUUAUUGGAGACCUCAGGGGUGUACUAGUGCCCUGCCUCGUGUGGACUGCUGACCCUUGGAGGGCAGGGAUAAAGGAGAACGUGGGAGGACUGAGGACAGGUGAGUGAGUCUGAAGACACUGACUUAUGGCUCCCAAGAGCCUUCUAGUCCUGCUGAACUUCUUAGCACACAAUUUCAAACUUGUUCUGAGUGACUUAACCUUGCUUAUCCAUUGUCAUGGUGGAAACCUGUGUAGCCUCCAAAAGCCUGGUGGCAGGGCUUUGGCAGGAGAUGCCAAGUGUUCUAAUCACCAGUGCGAAUUGAAUGAAACAUGGGGACUGAAUGGUUGAAUGGUUAUCCCCUCGGAAUUUAACAGAAAUACCUUUCUGCCUUUAUAAAUGUAGGUGCGUCCUAGGUUCAUGUUUUUGCCUGAUUCUUGAAAGGUGCCUGCUGACUACUGGAACAGGCCUGACUGGGCUGUGUGUGCGUUUUCUUUUAACAGAAUAACUGGUUCUCCGUUGAGAGUUCAUCUUUGUCUAGCUCAGGGAGAGUGGAGUUCUAGGUUCAGAGGUGAGAGAGAAAUCUGGAGAUCUUUUGGGUAUCUGUUUUAGCAUCUGAUGUGAGAGGUCUGGUCAGGAUCCAGAAGAUAGGCUUGUUCUAGGGAGCCCAGGGUAAUGUCUUACAACAGUCCUGAAGGGACUUAUGUCUGCCUGAAUGGAACUGAGGUGAUGGAAGUUGAGAAGGCUUGAGAAAUUUCUACAGAUGGUUAUGGGGAACUUGGAGAAUUGAAGAAAACCAGUGGUUUAGAGUAAGGCCAUUUGCCAGAGGCGAAGGACAUCUGUGGAGAACAUGAGAAUUCCCUUAGAGAUCUCUGAAAGUAGAGGGGUUGGGUAGCCUUGUCACAACUUGCAGAUGGGUACUCAGAAUGCUUGCCAUAUGAAGGUAGCGAGACCUGACACUUUUGCCUCGAAAGCUGGUGACAAAAUGUUUAUGCCACCAGUAGCUGUGGUCUCCCUCUGCCUUACACUUCCAUAGGUAGCCCAUUUUCAAGACACAAAUAGAUGUCCAGAGAAGUACAUGGGUUUUCUUUCUCUUUCAUAGAACUUGGCCUUUGCUGUCCUGCCAGGCACUUAAGACAUUUCCCAUAGGGGAUGAGAACUUAGCUUCUCUAGGUGUCCCUUUCAGAUUUUCUUCUUGGGGUCCUGGAAGAGAAUGAGAGAGCCCUGUGUACCUCAGACCACAGAGGGUAAGGACUUUCUUUCCCAGGGCAGUGGGAUGACACUAGAGAAUGGGCUAGCAUGGGCUAGCCAUGGCUAUUUUAGGACAGUCAAGACUGCUUAUUAGCUUGGCCCUAUUUCUCUGGAUGAAGAAGUUGAGAAUUUGCCCUUUCUGUUCUAUGGGAACAACUGAAACACCCUGAACUUUGGAAACACUGACCUCCUCAGGUGAUUCUGGGUGGAUUUAGAGAACUUUUCUCAGCAGGACUUGAAACUUACUCUCCUUCAGAGUACUGUUGAGUCCUGGCAAAGUAGGUGGCCUGGUGGGCACAAAAACAGAGGGUCCCGAGUGCUCGUGAAACUGGAAAUGGAAUCUAGGGGAACACACCAUAUUAUGGGAGUCAGUCGAUAGACAAGACUUAACUCCAUUACUUUUCCCAAAAUGUACCAUACCGAAUGUGAAAUGACCAUGACGAUGUGGACUAUCUUCAUGAAAGUUUGUCUCCUCUUUCUGGGGCAUACUUCUGUGUGAGUCUCACUCCAAAGAGCUUUCAUUAUAACCGAUAAUGGAGAGGCGCUUUGACACCAGGAUGAGGUAUUUCUGUAUCUGAACAGCUUCCUUAAUCUUUUCAUUCUUGUAGGUAGGAUGUGAGAAUCAUCCUAGCAGGAUGUUAUAAAGCACUGAGGAUAUGUUAGCUUAACUAACUUCUCUCAUGAAUAAAAUCAGCUAAGGAAUGCUUAACCGACUUAGUUUCCACAAGCCACGCACUUCACUCUGUCUGAAGACCUGUGGGUAAAUUCAUAGCCUUAAAAAGUGUGUGACGCUUGGCGUUUUGUAGUCAGGCAGGGGCCAAUGGCAUGGAAAACUGGAAGUAGCUUGUGUGGUGUUGUUGUUGCCUGACAUGGCUGUGGUGGCUGCUUGGACUGCACAGAGUCACACACCCGUCAGUGAUGGGGACAGAGCUCCAGCCUGACCUCCUGACUCAGGCUGUGACUCACACACAUGCCGUUUUGUACACUACCAGACAAGCUCCCAACUCGAGCAUUCAGGAUGUUGCUGUAGAGUGAGAUGUAGGAGGCCACACUUGCACUCAGAUGUUUAAUUCCUAAGAGACGAUGUGUGAGAGAAGCACCGGACGCCAGGCUUCGAAUGCUACCUCAUGACUGAGAAGCAUCAUUCUGGCACACCGUACUCCCCUUGGUUGUCCCACUGAGAGUUAAUGAGGCACACGUGGCUUUGGUACUCAGAAAACCUUGACACACACUGAAUAUUUUUUUUCCCUGUUUCUCUUCUUUCUAGGCCUUUGUGGCAAACAGUAGAUGUUUAAAAACAAGCUAAUGGUACAUGCUGUGUUAGCUUCUUAUGGAAAGUUAUGGAAGGGAAUGAGAGAGAAGCUCUCACACAUAACUCACUCUAGAGAGCCCCAGUCACCCCCAGGAAAUGCAAACCCUGCUUCCUGGGCUCCCCUCUUAACGCCAGGUCAUCCCAAGGGACACCUGUUUUCCUCAAACCCACUUCCCUGACAGGUUGAUGCUGGCUGAACAUUUUGCAAGACCUGGGCUAGGUCUUGUUAAUUUCAUAUUAUCCCUGCCACCUACCCCGAGUUUCAUCAUGUUUAUUUAGUGAAUACACAGUAAAAAGUCUUAAAAAUGCCCCUGAUUAAUAUAUUUUGGCAGCGAGAAAGGAGACAAAUUAACCAAGCUUUUCCAAUCUCAUCCAAAGUUAACUCGCAAACUCCAUUUUAAGGAAGGGCUUCCUGUGAAGGCUGCCUUGGAAAGCAUUGUGGGCCAAUUCCCCAACCUGUAAUAAACUAUAUGUAUAAAGAUAGCAGUGUUGUUAUACAAUUUAAUUAGUGCAUCACUCAGACAUUUGGACCAAUGCCUGGCUCUUUUCCUGCACGUUCAUUCAGCUUUUAGUCUAACUCCCGCGUGAAAUAAACAAAAAGGCUAAUUGCUUUUGGAUUUUAGCACCGGGUGAAAUACCUGGAUUCAUUAUGUGAAUCAUAUUUUAUAGGUAGAUUAAAGGUUCUAUUGGCAAAUGAAAAAUUCUACGAUGACAGCUGUAACGUUCAAAGGCAAGGCAAUGGAAAGGCCCGUGCUCCCACAGGCAGCAUAUGGACCCAUCUGACAUGCUCCUGGUUCUCAUAGCAGGAUGUUGGUGUGGGGAGUUCUGGAGCGGACCCCUUGUGAGCAUGUUAGGACCCAGCAAACCGGAAUGCCUUCUCAGCUUCCUGAAGAACAAGGCAGGUGGAUGAAGAGGGGUUGCCCCUGACAGCCCUGCUCCUGACCUUGCUCAAGGAAGACCUUCAAUACCCACCUCCAUCUGACUGAGUUCUGUUAAGGAAGAUAACACUCACAUCUUUGGCUCUCUUCACGAGUGGAGUAAGCCUUCCAUUCUUCAAAGGGAGAACUCCCAGAAGCCAGCAGUGCCCUUGACAAAACCAGCUCAAACUCAAGCUGACAAGCACUUGACUGGGACCAUCACAUCAUUCUUCAGUGACAGGGUCCUGAGCAAGAGGGGCCGGGGAUCAGAGGUAAAGAAGAUAAAACAGAGUAAUGCAUUUGAUUUUGAUGAGGCCCAAUGAAAUACACAGGAGCAAACAAGGUCUUUGGGAAAACGAACUCAGAAUAGCUACUUCCAGCUCGUAUCCAAAGGGGAUAGAAUCAAGAAGAAAAGAGUCCGUGGCAUGCUCAGAAAUUUACUGGAAAGAGUCAAGCUGAGAAAACCAUUCAACUGCAAAGACACACUACCUUACCUGGGUGAGGAAGGAUAACUUGGAGAGGAACUGAGAUCCCAAAUUACAGAGCCAGGAACCAUGGAGGAUCCAAGGGACUUCCAACGUUCAGAAGAUGGCUUUCUCAAAUCAAGAAGACCCUCACCAGAACCUGCUGGUAGCCAAUGAGAGUUUCUAGGCUCUGAAACUGUAUUGUUGUGCUCGGAAUGCUGCAGCCUCCAUCUUGAGACUCCACCCAACACCAAUACAGGCAAGAGGAGCAGAGGGUGUCCAACUCCUACACAUGGGCCGCUAAACUUCCCCCAGCCAACCAAAAAGCUGGUUUUUAGUUAAAAAUACUGUCUGCUGAUAAAAGAAAUAAGGAUGAGUGUAUCAUUCAACCCUCAUUGGAGAAGCUUCCUCCUGCAGUAGAUGGGAAUUAGCAGAGACCAACAACUGGACAUAAGUAAUGAGUGAGAGACUUGGAGGCCCUCAGUCCCACAUGGGAGGUCUUCGUCAAAUUCCUUCCCUGAAGGCUUAGGGAGCUAUGUAGAUGAGGAGACAGAAAGAUCGUAAGAGCCAGAGAUGGCGGGUGAUUCCAAGGAACAAUGUCUUCCAGACACAACAGGACUGAUCUACAUGUAAGUUCACAGAGACUGUGAAGCCCACAAAACCUGCACAAGUUCAAACAAGACAAAAUCCCAGCACCGAGAAGGGGAAAUGGACCCAGGUAGAGUCCUAGCCCUAACUAAAGAGCUAUUUGCAAGUGAUGUUUACUGGGAAAGGGAAAAUCCAUUUUCUCUCGUGGAGUGUCACUGGGCAUAUCAGUCA